GGAGGGGAUGUGAUCCUGGUGGACACCCCGGGCUUCAAACCCGGUGGGGCGGCAGGUGACUGUCUGCCCGGAAGGUUCGAUUCCUUCCCCCUUCC
RNAcentral lists this transfer RNA (95 nucleotides) under Nautilia lithotrophica. RNAcentral's name for it is "tRNA-Sec". It matches the Rfam family "Selenocysteine transfer RNA". RNAcentral also lists the same sequence under 1 other name. Lineage: Bacteria; Pseudomonadati; Campylobacterota; Epsilonproteobacteria; Nautiliales; Nautiliaceae. The record is from RNAcentral.